AGCCGUGGGGGAGGGGAAAGGGCGCGCGGCCUCGGAUGCGCAGACCCUGGGCCGGCGACUCGGGGACCCUGCUCCCUCUUAGCUAAAAAUGACGUCGGCGUUCAGCUCCUCCAACCUCACGUGGACAGGCGAGGGAACCGAGACCCAGAGAGGGCAGGGGACUUUGGCAAACUCACACAGCCCACCGCAGGCAACUGGAACUGAAACCCAGGACUCCGUCUCUUGCCAGUGAAAGUUAUGUUAGGAAGCAGUGAGGGGUCUAAAGCAGUAUGAAAGGCAAAGAGAAAAGGUGAUUGUUCCCUCUUGAAUGGCCCUUGGAAGCUGAGUAUCUGGAUUCACCCUCCCUAGGGAAUUUCCCGAUUGUCUUGCAGGCUUACACACUCAUCAAGAUGACAAAAAUAAUGACAGUAACACUUAUGUGGAACUUGACUUUUUCCCAGGUGCUGCUCUAAGCAUUUACUGUGUUUGUUUUACAGGAAGGAAGACUGUACACAGAGAAUAAAUAACUUGGCCAAGCCAUUCAGCUAGGAAGUUGUAGAUCCUAAAUUAAGAGUUCAAGGUCUUAAUGGCUACUCUAUGCGGCCUCUCAUAGUCUUUUCAAGGGUUUUGGAGAAGAAUAAAAGAUCAGUCAUCCACAGAUGUUUGAGUGGUUACAAUGUGCCAGCCUCCCUUCUAGGUACUGGAGAUAAAGUGGGACAAGAGAGUUGCUUGUGAUACAUCAGUAUCCUCACUCACCCCCAACUCCAGAGGCUGAAACUAACUCUCCUCCUCCCUCUUCCAACUGCUGAGGAAGAUGAGUCAAUGGUGUUACUGGACCCUGUGAACUGAUGCUGUGAAGAGAGGCCAUUUAACACGGACUACGGGGAAUGGUGCCACAGGGGGCUCAGUGCUGCCCUUCACUCUCAGCAUUUUGCUCACUCAGCAUUGAUGACAGGAUGUCCCAAAAGUAACAAAAGAUGGGAGCCAGUCCUCUCAUAGCUGUUUCUUCAAUCAUCCCAUCAACAGCUCUUCAUUUAUUGAACUACCUUCCUUUUCCAAAGAGGUAAUGCUGAGAUCAGUCAGAAAGGCUUUCUGAGAAAACUGGCUUGGAUUUCUGGGUCUGUUGCAGUCAAUUCAAGAUGAACUGGCUUGUAUCAAUGAAGCGCUCAAUGCAGUUCACAAAACAGGCCUCAGCCCGACUGUCCAACUUUGGCCCAGGCUUGUCCAUGCACUUCUCCCAACAAAGUUCAGUCAUCUGGUGCACCAGCUGCUGGAAGCGCUGCUUUUGAGUCUCUACCUCAAUGAAAAUGCUGCAACUGCGGGUCCACUGCACCCAAACCCGCCGCAGAGGAAGAGCAGGAGGAAUCCAUCCCAGGACAACCAUGCUUGCAGAGACGAACUCCGCACCAACCUUCACGUGUCUCCACGACCUAGUUAAUCAAUUUAAAAUGAGGUCACUAGGGUGGGCCCCAAUCCAAUAUGACUGAUAACUUUAUAAAAAGGAGAGAUUUGGAUACAGAAAGAGACAGAGUGAAAACCAUGUGAAGAAACAUAGGAAAAGAUGGCAGCUACAAGCCAAGGAGAAGCUUGCAGUGUGUAUUCAUCUGUUCUCAUGCUGUUAAUAAAGACAUACCUGAGACUGGGUAAUUUAUAAAGGAAA
This 1639-nucleotide long non-coding RNA is filed under the name Homo sapiens (human). RNAcentral's name for it is "HSALNT0306869". Lineage: Eukaryota; Metazoa; Chordata; Mammalia; Primates; Hominidae. The record is from RNAcentral.